AUGUACAGUAACUUUUCAUGUAUGAAAAGUCCACUCAUCUUUAACCAUCUCACCACUCCCGCCCAUAUCAUCUCUUCUCCCGCCCAUCUCAUCUUCUCCCGCCCUCGUUCUUUUCCUUUCCACCAGGGCUUUUGUUCAGAAGAAUUACAAGGAACCGAAGAAAGCAAACCCCAGGUUGCCCAUUCUCAUCCGUGAGUGCAGCGACACCGACCCUCAGUUGUGGCAUGAUUUGGUAUUGAUCUUAAACUGUUGUUUGUAGUCUGAUGGUAGUGAAAAUGGAUGGUAUGAUAUUUGAUAUUGA
Long non-coding RNA from Helianthus annuus (common sunflower), 301 nucleotides. RefSeq lists it as uncharacterized. NCBI's taxonomy places the organism in Eukaryota, Viridiplantae, Streptophyta, Magnoliopsida, Asterales, Asteraceae. The transcript is spliced from 2 exons. The record is from RefSeq and is a predicted model, not a curated record.